AAGGAUCAUUACCGAGUGCGGGCUGCCUCCGGGCGCCCAACCUCCCACCCGUGACUACCUAACACUGUUGCUUCGGCGGGGAGCCCCCCAGGGGCGAGCCGCCGGGGACCACUGAACUUCAUGCCUGAGAGUGAUGCAGUCUGAGCCUGAAUACAAAUCAGUCAAAACUUUCAACAAUGGAUCUCUUGGUUCCGGCAUCGAUGAAGAACGCAGCGAACUGCGAUAAGUAAUGUGAAUUGCAGAAUUCAGUGAAUCAUCGAGUCUUUGAACGCACAUUGCGCCCCCUGGCAUUCCGGGGGGCAUGCCUGUCCGAGCGUCAUUGCUGCCCUCAAGCCCGGCUUGUGUGUUGGGUCGUCGUCCCCCCCGGGGGACGGGCCCGAAAGGCAGCGGCGGCACCGUGUCCGGUCCUCGAGCGUAUGGGGCUUUGUCACCCGCUCGAUUAGGGCCGGCCGGGCGCCAGCCGGCGUCUCCAACCUUAUUUUUCUCAGGUUGACCUCGGAUCAGGUAGGGAUACCCGCUGAACUUAAGCAUAUCAAUAAGCGGAGGAAAAGAAACCAACCGGGAUUGCCUCAGUAACGGCGAGUGAAGCGGCAAGAGCUCAAAUUUGAAAGCUGGCCCCUUCGGGGUCCGCGUUGUAAUUUGCAGAGGAUGCUUCGGGUGCGGCCCCUGUCUAAGUGCCCUGGAACGGGCCGUCAGAGAGGGUGAGAAUCCCGUCUUGGGCAGGGUGCCCGUGCCCGUGUGAAGCUCCUUCGACGAGUCGAGUUGUUUGGGAAUGCAGCUCUAAAUGGGUGGUAAAUUUCAUCUAAAGCUAAAUACCGGCCGGAGACCGAUAGCGCACAAGUAGAGUGAUCGAAAGAUGAAAAGCACUUUGAAAAGAGAGUUAAACAGCACGUGAAAUUGUUGAAAGGGAAGCGCUUGCGACCAGACUCGGCCCCGGGGUUCAGCCAGCACUCGUGCUGGUGUACUUCCCCGGGGGCGGGCCAGCGUCGGUUUGGGCGGCCGGUCAAAGGCCCCAGGAAUGUAUCGCCCUCCGGGGUUGUCUUAUAGCCUGGGGUGCAAUGCGGCCAGCCCGGACCGAGGAACGCGCUUCGGCACGGACGCUGGCGUAAUGGUCGCAAACGACC
RNAcentral lists this ribosomal RNA (1124 nucleotides) under uncultured Emericella. RNAcentral describes it as "eukaryotic LSU rRNA". The stretch from base 491 to 1124 matches the Rfam family "Eukaryotic large subunit ribosomal RNA", at positions 1 to 649 of the family's 3401-position model. The record is from RNAcentral. Lineage: Eukaryota; Fungi; Ascomycota; Eurotiomycetes; Eurotiales; Aspergillaceae.